UGUGACCUGAGUUAUUAUAAGCCGGCAUUUAUUUUAAGAACUUUGUGAUUUAAUUACAUCUGUAUUUUGUGCUUUUGUCUGUGUAUGUCUUGUUAGGUACCAUAUAUGUUAAUUGUAAUCUAUACAAUUUGUAUCGUUACUCUCCUAUUCUAUCUUUUGUCCUAAGGAGAGCUGUGCUUAGGCAAUCACAUGGUUAAAAAACUUUGUGCUUGUAAGUCUUCCUCCCUCCUCCCCCCUCCUUCUUUGUUGCUUUCUCUUGCUCUGACUGCUAUGAGUAUUGGCUACAGGGGGGGUGAAUGGGUGAAAUGCUUGUAAACUCAGUGAGGAAUGUGAGGGAAACAAGGUAUAUUUGCUGGACGAAUAACCUAGUUAGGAACUUUGUGUAAUCUUGUAUAUGUUGUUAAGUAAGAGGUUAUUGGCAUGUUGGAAUAAGGAAAGUUAGAUUUUGU
RNAcentral lists this long non-coding RNA (449 nucleotides) under Pelobates cultripes (western spadefoot toad). Lineage: Eukaryota; Metazoa; Chordata; Amphibia; Anura; Pelobatidae. The record is from RNAcentral.